This 311-nucleotide long non-coding RNA is filed under the name Pongo abelii (Sumatran orangutan). RNAcentral's name for it is "lincRNA". The record is from RNAcentral. Lineage: Eukaryota; Metazoa; Chordata; Mammalia; Primates; Hominidae.
GUUUUUCUGGUAUUGUCUGCCCGGCUGCUCCAAGCCAGACUGAUGAAAGAGGAGUCCCCUGUGGUGAGUUGGAGGUUGGAGCCUGAAGAUGGCACAGCUCUGUGAUUCAUCUCCUGCGGUUGUGGCGGCCACGGUGAUGGAGACUGCAGCUCAACAGGAGCGGUAGGAGGGUACCCGUGGAGGCCAAGUGGUAGGAGCCUUGGAGGGUGGAUCGGUGCAUGGAGAGUGACAGCAGCGCUGGUUCCGUUGGCGUCGGCGCUGAUGGUGGCGGCAGCAGCAAGUCUAGGGGCCAGGAAGGGAGAGUAGGAGAG